Molecule: ribosomal RNA, 755 nt
Filed under: uncultured organism
Description: bacterial SSU rRNA
Rfam family: Bacterial small subunit ribosomal RNA
Source: RNAcentral
GCGGCGUGCUUACACAUGCAAGUCGAACGUGAAGCCCGGUACCUAGUAUUGGGUGGAAAGUGGCGAACGGGUGAGUAACACGUUGGUGACCUGCCCUGAGGAGGGGAAUAACCGUGGGAAACCACGGCUAAUACCCCGGAUGUCUAAGCUGUUAGAGGGCUCAGACUAAAGCCCCUGCAAUGGGUGCGCCUCGGGAGGGGCCUGCGGGCUAUCAGCUUGUUGGUGAGGUAAUGGCUUACCAAGGCGAAGACGGCUAGGGGGCGUGAGAGCGCGACCCCCCACAAUGGAACUGAGACACGGUCCAUACUCCUACGGGAGGCAGCAGUGAGGAAUAUUGCGCAAUGGGGGCAACCCUGACGCAGCAACGCCGCGUGGACGAUGAAGGCCUUCGGGUUGUAAAGUCCUUUUCUGAAGGAAGAUAGUGACGGUACUUCAGGAAUAAGUCCCGGCUAACUACGUGCCAGCAGCCGCGGUAAAACGUAGGGGGCGAGCGUUAUCCGGAUUUACUGGGCGUAAAGCGCACGUAGGCGGCAUCGUAAGUUGGACGUGAAAGCUCCCGGCUCAACUGGGAGAGGUCGUUCAAAACUGUGGUGCUUGAGGUUGAUAGAGGAGAGUGGAAUUCCCGGUGUAGUGGUGGAAUGCGUAGAUAUCGGGAGGAACACCAGUGGCGAAGGCGGCUCUCUAGGUCACACCUGACGCUGAGGUGCGAAAAGCGUGGGGAGCGAACGGGAUUAGAUACCCCGGUAGUCCACGCU